CAUUUUGCGUUGAUUGGGAGUAGUAGAGGAUCUAAUUAUAACAGAGAGCUGUUGGUUGGUGUGAAACAGUAUAAGAUGACCUUGAACUCGCCCAGGAGCUCUUAAGAUGGAACGGAAUUCACUUCUUAUUAUAUCUUAACGCAUAACCUCCGUUAGAAGGUUUGUACGUGAUGUACAAGUAAAGUGGAUUUUAAUCGAUGAAUUAAAAUCAAAAAGAGUGGUACCGCGGAGGUCAGCUGGCCUAACGUCUCUUGU
This 255-nucleotide non-coding RNA is filed under the name Bacillus sp. (in: firmicutes). Its description in RNAcentral is "Bacillus sp. T-box sequence". It matches the Rfam family "T-box leader". Rfam says of the family: Uncharged tRNA acts as the effector for transcription antitermination of genes in the T-box leader family. T-boxes are found upstream of many aminoacyl-tRNA synthetase genes and some amino acid biosynthetic genes usually in Gram-positive bacteria. The anticodon of a specific tRNA base pairs to a specifier sequence within the T-box motif, and the NCCA acceptor tail of the tRNA base pairs to a conserved bulge in the T-box antiterminator hairpin. The record is from RNAcentral. Lineage: Bacteria; Bacillati; Bacillota; Bacilli; Caryophanales; Bacillaceae.